This 134-nucleotide small nucleolar RNA is filed under the name Drosophila virilis. RNAcentral's name for it is "snoRNA:GJ25526". The record is from RNAcentral. Lineage: Eukaryota; Metazoa; Arthropoda; Insecta; Diptera; Drosophilidae.
GCAAUUUUUGAGAAUGGUUUUGCCUUUUGUGUGGCAUUUUCAUUGUACAAAAUUGCAAGAGCAUUUGGGUUUUUUGCUUGCCUCGUUGUUUUUAAAACCAUAGAACAACGCAGGCCAAUGAAAACCUGGACAUU